CCUCCCUGCUCUCUGCUCCCUCGCGGCAGGCCGGCAACUUCCUAUCUCUCUGCUCGGCUCCUCCCACGGCACGCCGUGCUCCAGCUCGGAUUCCCCCUCCAUGGCGCGCCCGAGCACUCCGGCUCUCUGCUCGAGCUCGCCCAGCUCCCUGCUGCGGUGACUAGCGCUCAGCGUCCGGCUCCCUGGGUGCUUGCCCUGCUCGCCGCCAUCCUGCUGGAUCCCCUCCACGGCGCCCGUUCUUCCCGGGUGUCUUCCUCCACCGCGCUCUCCUCUGCAAGCAACUGGGUUCUGCUCUGCCCUGGGCGUCGUUCUCAGUCACUGGUGGACCGCGCGCCCCUCUG
RNAcentral lists this unclassified non-coding RNA (341 nucleotides) under Zea mays. Its description in RNAcentral is "misc RNA Zm00001eb286010". Lineage: Eukaryota; Viridiplantae; Streptophyta; Magnoliopsida; Poales; Poaceae. The record is from RNAcentral.